GAAGCUAGCUGCAUUGCAUUGAGCAUUUGGAAAGGAGAGAAGGUACAGAUGUCCAGAAGCAAGAAGGGGAUGUCUGAACACAGAUUUACACCAGUAGAGACCAGAAAGACAGAUGGUCAACAAAUAGCUGGAAUGGAAACAAGAGGCACCUACGUUUAGGUCUCAGCUCUGAGGUCUCGGAACCAGCGCCUUCCCCAGGAAAGAACUUGGCAAUGCCUGGGAGUAUUGUCCCUGUGGGGCCAAAGAAUCUUUGUCAAUGGAGAAACAACAGGCUGCCUGAACCCGUGAAUGGCCGUGGAUACUUCAUGGCUUCAGCCAGAACUCUGAUGGAACUUUUAGCCAGAGAAUCCAAUGCUGCAAAGUUCUAAUCCCUUCUCUGCAAGGGCUUGUUGUGGUCUUACGACAGUGAAAUGGGGGAUACCAGAAGAUUUGAAAAUAAACAAGCUUCCUGAGGCUCAUGGAU
This is a non-coding RNA of Rattus norvegicus (Norway rat), 463 nucleotides long. The record is from RefSeq and is a predicted model, not a curated record. Lineage: Eukaryota; Metazoa; Chordata; Mammalia; Rodentia; Muridae.